CCAAAACCAUUGCUUUGGUCUGGUGGGCGUUCUUUUAGUGGGCUUUUCUGUCACGGCCUGCGUGGCAGACUAUGAUGAGGGGAAGGAGGACCCAAAUGCUGGACUCUUUGAUGAGUGUCUGAGCACCCCGUGCUCGCUGCCCUCUCGUCUCCACACUCCUCCUGGGGAAUAACAAAGAGGCAGCCAUCAGCAACACCACAAUGCGGCAGACUAACCUUAACUAACUCGCCAAGAGACUAACGUGAAGUUACGCAGUGAUCCAGCAUCGGAGAGAGCUCCACCACACUCCUAAGUAGCUCCUCUGACGAGGCUUGAUCAGCUGCAGGUGUGAGUAAUUCUCCUCCGCAGGUGUGGCCAGGCUCCUGGCUGACACACACACACACACAC
Oreochromis niloticus (Nile tilapia) is the source of this 387-nucleotide long non-coding RNA. RefSeq lists it as uncharacterized. NCBI's taxonomy places the organism in Eukaryota, Metazoa, Chordata, Actinopteri, Cichliformes, Cichlidae. The transcript has 2 exons. The record is from RefSeq and is a predicted model, not a curated record.